GAGUUUGAUCCUGGCUCAGAUUGAACGCUGGCGGCAUGCCUAACACAUGCAAGUCGAACGGCAGCAUAAUUUGUAGUAAUACAGAUUGAUGGCGAGUGGCGGACGGGUGAGUAACGCGUAGGAAUCUGCCUUUCAGAGGGGGAUAGCCUUAGGAAACUGAGGGUAAUACCGCAUAAUACUGAGAAGUCAAAGGCGUGGGAUUUUAGGACCACGCGCUGAGGGAGGAGUCUGCGUCAGAUUAGCUAGUUGGUGGGGUAAAGGCCUACCAAGGCGACGAUCUGUAGCUGGUCUGAGAGGACGAACAGCCACACUGGGACUGGGACACGGCCCAGACUCCUACGGGAGGCAGCAGUGGGGAAUAUUGGACAAUGGGGGAAACCCUGAUCCAGCGAUGCCGCGUGUGUGAAGAAGGCCUUCGGGUUGUAAAGCACUUUAGUUUGGGAAGAAGUUAAUGAGUCUAAUAGGCUUAUUGAUUGACAUUACCGAAAGAAUAAGCACCGGCUAACUCUGUGCCAGCAGCCGCGGUAAUACAGAGGGUGCGAGCGUUAAUCGGAAUUACUGGGCGUAAAGGGCGCGUAGGCGGUUAUACAAGUCAGUUGUGAAAUAUCUGGGCUCAACCUAGAAAUUGCAGAUGAAACUGUAUAGCAAGAGUGCAGUAGAGGGUAGCGGAAUUUCCGGUGUAGCGGUGAAAUGCGUAGAUAUCGGAAGGAACACCGGUGGCGAAGGCGGCUAUCUGGACUGCAACUGACGCCGAGGCGCGAAAGCGUGGGGAUCAAACAGGAUUAGAUACCCUGGUAGUCCACGCUGUAAACGAUGAGUACUAGAUGUUGGGUGUCGAUGUACACUUAGUAUCGAAGCUAACGCGAUAAGUACUCCGCCUGGGGAGUACGGCCGCAAGGUUAAAACUCAAAGGAAUUGACGGGGGCCCGCACAAGCGGUGGAGCAUGUGGUUUAAUUCGAUGCAACGCGAAGAACCUUACCUACUCUUGACAUCCCUCGAAUUUGCCAGAGAUGGUGGAGUGCCUACGGGAAUGAGGAGACAGGUGCUGCAUGGCUGUCGUCAGCUCGUGUCGUGAGAUGUUGGGUUAAGUCCCGUAACGAGCGCAACCCCUAUCACUAGUUACCAGCACGUAGAGGUGGGAACUCUAGUGAGACUGCCAGUGAUAAACUGGAGGAAGGCGGGGACGACGUCAAGUCAUCAUGGCCUUAUGAGUAGGGCUACACACGUGCUACAAUGGGCAGUACAAAGGGAAGCGAAGCGGCGACGUGAAGCGGACCUCAAAAAGCUGUUCGUAGUCCGGAUCGGAGUCUGCAACUCGACUCCGUGAAGUUGGAAUCGCUAGUAAUCGCGGAUCAGCAUGCCGCGGUGAAUACGUUCUCGGGCCUUGUACACACCGCCCGUCACACCAUGGGAGUGGGUUGUACCAGAAGUGAGUAGACUAACCUUCGGGGAGUCGCUUCCCACGGUAUGAUUCAUGACUGGGGUGAAGUCGUAACAAGGUA
This 1503-nucleotide ribosomal RNA is filed under the name metagenome. Its description in RNAcentral is "bacterial SSU rRNA". It matches the Rfam family "Bacterial small subunit ribosomal RNA". The record is from RNAcentral.